GAUGAACGCUGGCGGCGUGCCUAACACAUGCAAGUCGAACGGAGCUGCUUUGAUGAAGUUUUCGGAUGGAUUUAAAACAGCUUAGUGGCGGACGGGUGAGUAACGCGUGGGUAACCUGCCUCACACUGGGGGAUAACAGUUGGAAACGACUGCUAAUACCGCAUAAGCCCACGGCUCGGCAUCGAGCAGAGGGAAAAGGAGUAAUCCGCUUUGAGAUGGCCUCGCGUCCGAUUAGCUAGUUGGUGAGGUAACGGCCCACCAAGGCGACGAUCGGUAGCCGGACUGAGAGGUUGAACGGCCACAUUGGGACUGAGACACGGCCCAGACUCCUACGGGAGGCAGCAGUGGGGGAAUAUUGCACAAUGGGGGAAACCCUGAUGCAGCGACGCCGCGUGGAGGAAGAAGGUCUUCGGAUUGUAAACUCCUGUUGUUGGGAAGAUAAUGACGGUACCCAACAAGGAAGUGACGGCUAACUACGUG
RNAcentral lists this ribosomal RNA (480 nucleotides) under uncultured bacterium. RNAcentral's name for it is "bacterial SSU rRNA". It matches the Rfam family "Bacterial small subunit ribosomal RNA", at positions 28 to 507 of the family's 1533-position model. The record is from RNAcentral.